Molecule: non-coding RNA, 73 nt
Organism: Stegodyphus mimosarum
Lineage: Eukaryota; Metazoa; Arthropoda; Arachnida; Araneae; Eresidae
Source: Rfam
GCCUACGUGGUGUAAUGAUCAGCACACUCGACGCGUAUUCAAAAGGUCCGUGGUUCGAGUCCCGGCGAGAGCA